Mytilus californianus (California mussel) is the source of this 1102-nucleotide long non-coding RNA. RefSeq lists it as uncharacterized. Lineage: Eukaryota; Metazoa; Mollusca; Bivalvia; Mytilida; Mytilidae. The transcript is spliced from 4 exons. The record is from RefSeq and is a predicted model, not a curated record.
UUAUUUACUGAAACGCGAAUAUUGUAUGUUUGUGCAUUAAUUAUAUUGUAAACGGUUGCAAUAGCUGUUUUUCUUGCGGAGAUUGUCAGCUUGCGGGACCCCGCCUCCCUUUGAGGAUCAACCAAUCAGAAGACGAUCGCCGUCGGAAAGAUGCUUGUGGAUUGCAGAAUGGAAAGCACCUUGCUGCGGAAAAUAUUUUCACUUCUACGUGAAAAUCUAACAAGAAAAUUGACCUGUCAAAUACAAGAUACAGAGUGCCAGUCCCACUAUGAUGAAGUAUUAAAAGCUUUAAAAUGGUUGGAAUUAGGAAAGCUUUAUUAUUUGAACAGGAAACAGAUAUGAAUGAAUGAAGAUUUGGAUCCCUCUUCAAUUCAUCUGAAAACCUGAUAAUUGAGCGUUCUUGCAAAAAAUGUACCUAAGGAGUCAGAUGGGCUAGAGCAUUCAUUUCCAUAAUCUGGACUCGGUGACUGUUCAAGGCUUUACUCAAUACCCGAGUUUACAUUUCCAGUUACUAUUUACAAUGAUUUAUGUGUAACCUAAAUUUCAUAUUGUUACACUUUUUCGUCACUAGUCAGAUAGAAUUAGACACAUCUCUGGAGAAGAAAAAAAUCUUUGUAACGUUCAAGACAGAAUUAAUGAAAAGGAUCAAGAACUAAUACAACUAUAUGCUUGUAGUACUGAUGUAAAUUUUUUGGAAAUGUUUCAAACUGAAGCAACACUUUAAAGCUUUCCGAUAAUAUAUUAAACCAGGAGACGUAUUAGCUACAAUUUAAUUUUAAGAUGACACUGGACAUUCUUAGUUGUUUAUUACUCAAUGAAUAGUUAGUUUAUAGCAUAAGUUAUUGUGACUCUAUUCAUCUGUUAUAUAAUGAUAGUUACUUCAUUUUUUAAAAAAUGCAUUGAUAUUUGUUUAUGAUCAAUGAUUUAGAAAAACAAGUGUUUGUUUGUUUGUUUUCUUUAGAAAAUUUAAUACCAAGAGUGAAGGUCUUUGAAAUAGAAAUCUAUGGAUUUUCUUUUCUUUAUGGAGUAAAAUGGUAUUUCAUGUAUAUGUUGUAUCAAAAAUGUAAAUACAAGAAAUAAAUUACAUAUCAUCAAUUUCUAA